Molecule: ribosomal RNA, 496 nt
Filed under: uncultured bacterium
Lineage: Bacteria
Description: partial 16S ribosomal RNA
Rfam family: Bacterial small subunit ribosomal RNA
Source: RNAcentral
GAUGAACGCUGGCGGCGUGCCUAAUACAUGCAAGUCGAGCGAACGGACGAGAAGCUUGCUUCUCUGAUGUUAGCGGCGGACGGGUGAGUAACACGUGGAUAACCUACCUAUAAGACUGGGAUAACUUCGGGAAACCGGAGCUAAUACCGGAUAAUAUUUUGAACCGCAUGGUUCAAAAGUGAAGACGGUCUUGCUGUCACUUAUAGAUGGAUCCGCGCUGCAUUAGCUAGUUGGUAAGGUAACGGCUUACCAAGGCAACGAUGCAUAGCCGACCUGAGAGGGUGAUCGGCCACACUGGAACUGAGACACGGUCCAGACUCCUACGGGAGGCAGCAGUAGGGAAUCUUCCGCAAAGGGCGAAAGCCUGACGGAGCAACGCCGCGUGAGUGAUGAAGGUCUUCGGAUCGUAAAACUCUGUUAUUAGGGAAGAACAUAUGUGUAAGUAACUGUGCACAUCUUGACGGUACCUAAUCAGAAAGCCACGGCUAACUACGUG